CUGUAACUGACGCUGAGGCUCGAAAGUAUGGGUAGCAAACAGGGUUAGAUACCUGGUAGUCCAUACCGUAAACGAUGAAUGCUAAGUGUGGAGGGUUUCCGCCUUCAGUGCUGCAGCUAACGCAUUAAGCAUUCCGCCUGGGGAGUACGGCCACAAGGCUGAAACUCAAAGGAAUUGACGGGGGCCCGCACAAGCGGUGGAGCAUGUGGUUUAAUUCGAAGCUACGCGAAGAACCUUACCAGGUCUUGACAUACUAUGCAAAUCUAAGAGAUUAGACGUUCCCUUCGGGGACAUGGAUACAGGUGGUGCAUGGUUGUCGUCAGCUCGUGUCGUGAGAUGUUGGGUUAAGUCCCGCAACGAGCGCAACCCUUAUUAUCGGUUGCCAGCAUUAAGUUGGGCACUCUGGUGAGACUGCCGGUGACAAACCGGAGGAAGGUGGGGAUGACGUCAAAUCAUCAUGCCCCUUAUGACCUGGGCUACACACGUGCUACAAUGGAUGGUACAACGAGUUGCGAACUCGCGAGAGUAAGCUAAUCUCUUAAAGCCAUUCUCAGUUCGGAUUGUAGGCUGCAACUCGCCUACAUGAAGUCGGAAUCGCUAGUAAUCGCGGAUCAGCAUGCCGCGGUGAAUACGUUCCCGGGCCUUGUACACACCGCCCGUCACACCAUGAGAGUUUGUAACACCCAAAGUCGGUGGGGUAACCUUUAGGAACCAGCCGCCUAAGGUGGGACAGAUGAUUAGGGUGAAGUCGUAACAAGGUAACCA
RNAcentral lists this ribosomal RNA (765 nucleotides) under uncultured Lactobacillus sp. RNAcentral describes it as "bacterial SSU rRNA". It matches the Rfam family "Bacterial small subunit ribosomal RNA", at positions 734 to 1502 of the family's 1533-position model. The record is from RNAcentral. Lineage: Bacteria; Bacillati; Bacillota; Bacilli; Lactobacillales; Lactobacillaceae.